UGCAAGUCGAACGGUGAAGGGGGGCUUGCCCUCUGGAUCAGUGGCGAACGGGUGAGUAACACGUGAGCAAUCUGCCCCUGACUCUGGGAUAAGCGCUGGAAACGGCGUCUAAUACUGGAUACGAGCUGCGAAGGCAUCUUCAGCAGUUGGAAAGAUUUUUCGGUCAGGGAUGAGCUCGCGGCCUAUCAGCUUGUUGGUGAGGUAAUGGCUCACCAAGGCGUCGACGGGUAGCCGGCCUGAGAGGGUGACCGGCCACACUGGGACUGAGACACGGCCCAGACUCCUACGGGAGGCAGCAGUGGGGAAUAUUGCACAAUGGGCGGAAGCCUGAUGCAGCAACGCCGCGUGAGGGAUGACGGCCUUCGGGUUGUAAACCUCUUUUAGCAGGGAAGAAGCGUGAGUGACGGUACCUGCAGAAAAAGCACCGGCUAACUACGUGCCAGCAGCCGCGGUAAUACGUAGGGUGCAAGCGUUAUCCGGAAUUAUUGGGCGUAAAGAGCUCGUAGGCGGUUUGUCGCGUCUGCUGUGAAAUCCCGAGGCUCAACCUCGGGCCUGCAGUGGGUACGGGCAGACUAGAGUGCGGUAGGGGAGAUUGGAAUUCCUGGUGUAGCGGUGGAAUGCGCAGAUAUCAGGAGGAACACCGAUGGCGAAGGCAGAUCUCUGGGCCGUAACUGACGCUGAGGAGCGAAAGGGUGGGGAGCAAACAGGCUUAGAUACCCUGGUAGUCCACCCCGUAAACGUUGGGAACUAGUUGUGGGGGUCCAUUCCACGGAUUCCGUGACGCAGCUAACGCAUUAAGUUCCCCGCCUGGGGAGUACGGCCGCAAGGCUAAAACUCAAAGGAAUUGACGGGGACCCGCACAAGCGGCGGAGCAUGCGGAUUAAUUCGAUGCAACGCGAAGAACCUUACCAAGGCUUGACAUAUAGAGGAAACGGCUGGAAACAGUCGCCCCGCAAGGUCUCUAUACAGGUGGUGCAUGGUUGUCGUCAGCUCGUGUCGUGAGAUGUUGGGUUAAGUCCCGCAACGAGCGCAACCCUCGUUCUAUGUUGCCAGCACGUAAUGGUGGGAACUCAUGGGAUACUGCCGGGGUCAACUCGGAGGAAGGUGGGGAUGACGUCAAAUCAUCAUGCCCCUUAUGUCUUGGGCUUCACGCAUGCUACAAUGGCCGGUACAAAGGGCUGCAAUACCGUGAGGUGGAGCGAAUCCCAAAAAGCCGGUCCCAGUUCGGAUUGAGGUCUGCAACUCGACCUCAUGAAGUCGGAGUCGCUAGUAAUCGCAGAUCAGCAACGCUGCGGUGAAUACGUUCCCGGGUCUUGUACACACCGCCCGUCAAGUCAUGAAAGUCGGUAACACCUGAAGCCGGUGGCCCAACCCUUGUGGAGGAGCCGU
This 1389-nucleotide ribosomal RNA is filed under the name Microbacterium paludicola. Its description in RNAcentral is "bacterial SSU rRNA". It matches the Rfam family "Bacterial small subunit ribosomal RNA". The record is from RNAcentral. Lineage: Bacteria; Bacillati; Actinomycetota; Actinomycetes; Micrococcales; Microbacteriaceae.